Molecule: long non-coding RNA, 2637 nt
Organism: Equus caballus (horse)
Lineage: Eukaryota; Metazoa; Chordata; Mammalia; Perissodactyla; Equidae
Source: RefSeq, a predicted model, not a curated record
AAAACAUGGCUGAUGCAAGCCUUUAAGGAUGCUGCAUACCCAUGUCUCUUCUCACUAAUAGAACUGAGCUCCCAGUCAGCCUCUUCCACCUGACCCAGUGACCAUGAGGCGUGACCACAGGUGCCUGCUCUCUGGACAUCAGAACCAGACAUGGAAACGAGUCUUCAUGCAGAGUACGGAAUUUGGAACCAGAAGUAAUUCUAGAUGAACGCUGGUGACAAGAAAGUCUGGGGAAGAGGUAUUUGAGUAGACCUCAGUAAAUGGGCAGAAAACAUAUAUAAAUUUGUUUCCAAGACAAGCGCUCACCAAAGAGCAAGGAGGAUCUUCAUAAUCAAGUGGAUAAAAUGACAGGUCCUGUGGACGUUAGUCACCCCAUUCUUCUUCCCAUGGGCUCAUGGAAAAAGUGGCUAGGAUAUUAGAGAUGGUCGUUCUUUGGCUCAACAAGUUUUUUCUACUUACCAAGGCCAAUUGGCUACAUUCACUGCUAAGUAUCUGAUCUUCCAAUAACAAAUAUCAACACUGAGUCCUAGUUAGGGUAACAUUCUCUAAGUGGAUAAACCAGACGCCUGGUAGAAACUUGGUUAUAGAGGACCAUUUCCAUCAUGGAAGGGGCAGCAGUUUGCUUUCAUUGGAAUAUGGAUUUCCUGUCUCUGCUCAUAAUGCUUCUGCUAAAAUCAACAUCCCAGGACUUAUGGAAUAUUUUGUUCACUGUCAUGGUAUUUCAUACACCCUUGAUUCUAAUCAAGUCAUUCAUUUAAAGCCAGUGAAGUAUGGUAGUGUGCCCAUGCUCAUGGAAUUCACUGAUCUUACCAUGUUCCCCAGAACCCUGAAGCAGCUUGUCUUAUAGAUUGGUGGAAUGGCUUUUGAAGUCUCAGAAACAGUGCUAGCUGGGUGACAACACCUAGCAGGACUAGGAAAUGUCAUGCAGGAUGUUACAUGCUCUAAAUCGGUGACCAAUAUAUAGUGCUUUUUCUAUUAUAGACAAGAUCCAUAGAGUUUGUUAUAAGAAAUGUCCACAGAAGUGAAUCUUCUAUGACCACAAGUGCUAGGUUAGAAAAAUUUUUGCUUCCCCUCCCUGCAACUUUGGGCUCUGCUGGUCUAGAAGGUAGUUCUCAAGUAAAGACGGUUUUACCAGAAGACACAACAAUAGCUCAAUCAAAUAAUUAAAAUGGAAGUUGAGUCUCUUUUCUGGACACUUUGGGCUUUAAUAUCAGUAAUAAAUAGGCAAAGAACAGGGUUACGUGUACUGGCUGCAAUAAUUGAUUCUGAUUAUCAAAGGGGAAUUAGGUUGCUACUUCACAGUGGGGGUAAGCAAGACUCUGGAAUGCGAACGGUUCCUCUGGGAUGCCUCUUAGUAGUCUCAUGCCCUAUGAUUAAAGCCAAUGGGAAACCAAGCAACCCAAUGCAGUCAAGAUUGCUAAUGGUGUAGACUCUUUAGGAGCAAAGAUUUGGGUCACUUCUCUAGGCAAGGAACCACUGUCAACUAAGGUGCUUGCUUAAGGCCAUAGGAAUAAAGAACAAAUAGUGGAAUAAAGCAGUAAAAAAUAUCAGCUGCGACUGUGGGAUUAAUUUCAGAAAUGUGAGACAUUUUUGCAAAUCGUGACCAGGCUUGAUUUUUCUCAGAUAGGCUUGUUCAUGCAUCUGUGAUCAGCUGGCAGUUUGGUUAGGACAUGAGGCUCUGCUCCAUAUGGACGUUCAUCCUCCAGCAGCCUAUUUCACCUUGUUAUCCUAGCAAUAGCAGGAUUCCAAGUUGAACAAGAGAGAGACUAGAAGAGUGUAGGGCCACAUUAUGAUUUUAGCUGGUGUAGACUCAGAGCAGGUAGGGACUACCAAGUUUUAAGACAAAAGGUGUAAAUACAAGGGGGCCCUUCAUUGUGCCUGUUAAUGCAUUUAGUCUACCAUGGAACUCUUAUAGCAUGUGGAGGACACUAGGAUGCUGAUAAAUGUGUCAUCCUAGCAGAAAGUCUGAAAAAAUUUGUUAAAUCCUUAGCUCCUGACACCACACUUUACCUGCUUAGAACUUGCGUCUUAUUUCUUUCUUUGUUACUAAGAAUUCAACCAAAUUUUUCCAGUGUCACCUUUGCAACUCCAAUUGUAUUACUUUAUGGUGUCUGCUUUUGACUGCAUUUUACUUAUUACCCCGGUAGUGACAACAGGAAGUCUGGGAAUAUUUGGGGUAUCCCAUAAACUGUAUCAGCCUCCUCAAAGCCACUUCAAAUAAACAUACAAUCUAAAUAAAUUUUGUGUAGAUUCUAUCCAAAUGCAUCCUCAAAGUCAAUCUCUAACCCUUUUUCCGUUUAUCAGAUUUGAACCAUGUGAACUUGCCAACUUUCAACCUUUUUUGACCUGCAAAAGUGGUGAUGUCGGAUAGUCGAACUAACAGAUUACUGAAAAUUUUGGUUUUCCCCCUUUGUCACAGUGUCUUCAAGACAUCUCUUGGCAUUUAACACCACCUUGGACCACCCAUCUUUACAUACUCCUUUCAGAAACAGUUCUCCUCAUACCUGGCCUACUUAGUGGGACAGCUCAGACAUUUAGGAGAUUGAAACAUUCCCAUUGAAAUCAAAAUGCAACAAGAGGAAGCUAGUAAGCGAAGAAGGGGCUAAAGUGUCAUUCUUUCUCUUGCAAAAAUGUCAA